RNAcentral lists this ribosomal RNA (450 nucleotides) under uncultured bacterium. RNAcentral describes it as "bacterial SSU rRNA". It matches the Rfam family "Bacterial small subunit ribosomal RNA", at positions 29 to 524 of the family's 1533-position model. The record is from RNAcentral.
AACUAACGCUGGCGGCAUGCCUAACACAUGCAAGUCGAACGAGACCUUCGGGUCUAGUGGCGCACGGGUGCGUAACGCGUGGGAACCUGCCUUUAGGUUCGGAAUAACUCAGAGAAAUUUGAGCUAAUACCGGAUAAUGUCUUCGGACCAAAGAUUUAUCGCCUUUAGAUGGGCCCGCGUUGGAUUAGCUAGUUGGUGGGUAAAGGCCUACCAAGGCGACGAUCCAUAGCUGGUCUGAGAGGAUGAUCAGCCACACUGGGACUGAGACACGGCCCAGACUCCUACGGGAGGCAGCAGUGGGAAUAUUGGACAAUGGGCGAAAGCCUGAUCCAGCAAUGCCGCGUGAGUGAUGAAGGCCUUAGGGUUGUAAAAGGCUCUUUUACCCGAGAUGAUAAUGACAGUAUCGGGAGAAUAAGCUCCGGCUAACUCCGUGCCAGCAGCCGCGGUAAU